This 214-nucleotide unclassified non-coding RNA is filed under the name Hevea brasiliensis (rubber tree). The record is from RNAcentral. Lineage: Eukaryota; Viridiplantae; Streptophyta; Magnoliopsida; Malpighiales; Euphorbiaceae.
GCAUUGAAGAAGGGCUCCAGAGCUUUAAUGGUGUGGGCAAAUGAAACUGCAACAGUAGCAAACGAUACAUUGCUAGUGACAUGACCAAGAGCAUGGCACAACGCAACUGGAAAGAGCAGCUUCAAGAGUGUCGAAUUGAUAGGCGCACGCUUUGGGAGCCCGACGGUCCAGCUCACGAGGCAGUACACGACACCAACAAGCAGAUGGAUCACCG